Coffea arabica (coffee) is the source of this 576-nucleotide long non-coding RNA. RefSeq lists it as uncharacterized. The record is from RefSeq and is a predicted model, not a curated record. Lineage: Eukaryota; Viridiplantae; Streptophyta; Magnoliopsida; Gentianales; Rubiaceae.
CUCCAGAUGUCCCUGCAGAUAUGCCAAUCAUCAAUUCAAUUCAAAUUAUUCAAAGCACGAGACUUGGAAAUUAGCCAAUUUGCUAAAACCUCAACUCUAGGACAAAAAAGGGUAGGAACCCUGAAUAAGCUAUCUAGUUCAUUUCAGAUAACAAGCAAUGAGCAUCUGAUCGUCAAAGAGACAGAGAAAUGAUAACCUCAACAACCAAGUCGUUUAUUGCCAUCUCAAGUAAGUCUAUGGCAUUCCGGGCGUCUAAUUCAACUCCUUUACAAAUGCAAGUAAGGAGCAUUCGGCCAUGUGAAAACAACUCUUCCGAAUGAAUCCUUAGAAAUGUGGUAAAAUCUUUCGUAAAUUGAUCCAAAUAUGCCUUCUGGACGGGCAGACGACUUGCUUUGGAAGAGUAAAUGCUCCCUUUGUUCGUACUGAUCCCCAAUUCAGUCACCAAACCGCUAGGAACCUGCACGUCCAGAGCUGGUAACUUAUAUAGUUGGAUCAUUUUGUUAGUGUUGCAUGUGGGAAUAUAAAUCAUGAGCCACGACUUGAAUAAAAUAUGUUAUUAGUUUCUUCAGAAAUCUC